Molecule: ribosomal RNA, 392 nt
Filed under: uncultured bacterium
Lineage: Bacteria
Description: bacterial SSU rRNA
Rfam family: Bacterial small subunit ribosomal RNA
Source: RNAcentral
AUUGAACGCUGGCGGCGUGCCUAACACAUGCAAGUCGAUCGGUAACAGGUGUAGCAAUACAUGCUGACGAGAGGCGGACGGGUGAGUAACGCUUGGGAAUCUGCCUUUUAGUGGGGGACAACCCGGGGAAACUCGGGCUAAUACCGCAUACGCUCUACGGAGGAAAGCCGGGGACCGCAAGGCCUGGCGCUAAUAGAUGAGCCCAAGUCGGAUUAGCUAGUUGGUAGGGUAACGGCCUACCAAGGCGACGACGGGUAGCCGGCCUGAGAGGGCGACCGGCCACACUGGGACUGAGACACGGCCCAGACUCCUACGGGAGGCAGCAGUGGGGAAUCUUGCGCAAUGGGCGAAAGCCUGACGCAGCGACGCCGCGUGAGGGAUGACGGCCUCGG